UGGGGACUAUUUAAGUCCUAGAGUUCCAAGCUUGAAGGGGUGCUUUGGACAGAAACCAAACGGCGAAGUGAAAGCUUCCUCAUUAAAAUUACUUGCCCACAUUAUGCAAUUCCUACAAAGGCAUGAAUUCAGACUUAAGCAUGAUGAUUGGAUGAACACGG
Glycine soja is the source of this 161-nucleotide long non-coding RNA. RefSeq lists it as uncharacterized. The record is from RefSeq and is a predicted model, not a curated record. The transcript has 2 exons. NCBI's taxonomy places the organism in Eukaryota, Viridiplantae, Streptophyta, Magnoliopsida, Fabales, Fabaceae.